Molecule: ribosomal RNA, 157 nt
Filed under: Fagonia arabica
Lineage: Eukaryota; Viridiplantae; Streptophyta; Magnoliopsida; Zygophyllales; Zygophyllaceae
Description: 5.8 ribosomal RNA
Rfam family: 5.8S ribosomal RNA
About the family: 5.8S ribosomal RNA (5.8S rRNA) is a component of the large subunit of the eukaryotic ribosome.
Source: RNAcentral
CAAAAUGACUCUCGGCAACGGAUAUCUCGGCUCUCGCAUCGAUGAAGAACGUAGCGAAAUGCGAUACUUGGUGUGAAUUGCAGAAUCCAGUGAACCAUCGAGUCUUUGAACGCAAGUUGCGCCCGAAGCCUUCGGGCUGAGGGCACGUCUGCCUGGG